CCUACGGGUGGCUGCAGUGGGGAAUAUUGGACAAUGGGCGCAAGCCUGAUCCAGCCAUGCCGCGUGGGUGAAGAAGGCCUUCGGGUUGUAAAGCCCUUUUGUCCGGAAAGAAAAGUUCUGGGUUAAUAACCCAGGAUCAUGACGGUACCGGAAGAAUAAGCACCGGCUAACUUCGUGCCAGCAGCCGCGGUAAUACGAAGGGUGCAAGCGUUACUCGGAAUUACUGGGCGUAAAGCGUGCGUAGGUGGUGGUUUAAGUCAGAUGUGAAAGCCCUG
Molecule: ribosomal RNA, 275 nt
Filed under: uncultured Lysobacter sp.
Lineage: Bacteria; Pseudomonadati; Pseudomonadota; Gammaproteobacteria; Lysobacterales; Lysobacteraceae
Description: partial 16S ribosomal RNA
Rfam family: Bacterial small subunit ribosomal RNA
Source: RNAcentral